Molecule: long non-coding RNA, 247 nt
Organism: Panicum virgatum (switchgrass)
Lineage: Eukaryota; Viridiplantae; Streptophyta; Magnoliopsida; Poales; Poaceae
Exons: 2
Source: RefSeq, a predicted model, not a curated record
UUGUGUUGCCUUCUGGGAGUGGGCGGGCAACGCUGUGGGCACUCUGGCCUUCCUCUGGGCUACCGUCGUCUUGCUCGGCGGGUUCAGCUCUCUGCUGAGCCGCAUGGAUUUCUGGUUUGCCACGGUCAUGAUUUUCGUGGAAGGCUCCAGGGUUUUUAUCCGCAACGAUGCCUCGGUCAACCAGUGGUUAUUCGGCUCCACAAGCGCAUUCAGAUGGGAAAAUCUCUCUUCCAGUGACGUGUUAGCG